RNAcentral lists this ribosomal RNA (492 nucleotides) under uncultured bacterium. RNAcentral describes it as "partial 16S ribosomal RNA". It matches the Rfam family "Bacterial small subunit ribosomal RNA", at positions 29 to 507 of the family's 1533-position model. The record is from RNAcentral.
AGUGAACGCUGGCGGUAGGCCUAACACAUGCAAGUCGAACGGCAGCACAGUAAGAGCUUGCUCUUACGGGUGGCGAGUGGCGGACGGGUGAGGAAUACAUCGGAAUCUACUUUUUCGUGGGGGAUAACGUAGGGAAACUUACGCUAAUACCGCAUACGACCUACGGGUGAAAGCAGGGGAUCUUAGGACCUUGCGCGAUUGAAUGAGCCGAUGUCGGAUUAGCUAGUUGGCGGGGUAAAGGCCCACCAAGGCGACGAUCCGUAGCUGGUCUGAGAGGAUGAUCAGCCACACUGGAACUGAGACACGGUCCAGACUCCUACGGGAGGCAGCAGUGGGGAAUAUUGGACAAAGGGCGAAAGCCUGAUCCAGCCAUACCGCGUGGGUGAAGAAGGCCUUCGGGUUGUAAAGCCCUUUUGUUUGGAAAGAAAAGCAGCAGGUUAAUACCCCGCUGUUCUGACGGUACCCAAAGAAUAAGCACCGGCUAACUUCGUG